UGAACUACUGCAGGUUCAGCUUACCAUGUAGUAUUUUCUUUACAACAAGGCCUCACACGAGCAAAACUGUCAUCUUGUUGUUUAGUUUUGGCCCGGGACUGCAAUUUUUUCCCUUAUUGCAUUCUUUAGUGCAUAAAAUAAAAUAUAUAAUGUGCAUAAAAGCCGAAAACAACCAUUACGAUCAUAGUAGGCGAACUGAAAUUGUAGGGAUAUAAAGCAGUACCUGAACAUACAAAAGCUGGCCACAACUCUGUCUUCAAUUCCAUCUUGUUUCCAGAUUUCAGGAGUAGAUCAUCACCACCAUUACAGAUCAGGCUCUUUGUCAGUGCAAAUAACAGACUAACACCACAAGGACUUCAUUAACCUUAGCCACUUCUUAUGGGUACAUGAGAACUAAAAAAAUUCAUCUGUUAAAAUUUGUUUUUUUGACUUUUUGGACUAAUUCAUGUGCAGAAUUUAUAUUUUCAAUUAGACUGAUUUAUUGUAGUUUUAUCAACGACUAUAGUAUAUUAAGAUGUGGGCACUAUAUCGAAAGUGUUGUUCUACACCCGAGGUCAUGUGAGCUUGGUUGAACAGUAAAAUAAAUAAAAAAUGGAAAAACAAUUCAAAAAAUGUGAUUUCUUUCCGUGUGAGACACUGAAAAAAUGUUUAUUAGCUUGCAAAAUUUCAAUACUAUCUUUCUUGACUGAUUGUUUGUGGUCUGCCAUGAGCCCACGACGUAGCCAUCUGCAUCUGCCUCGCCUUGAGGCCACAGCAGCACCCCUGCCCUUCUGCUCCUGCUGGCGACCGCAACCCUCUGGCGGCAGCAACACCGCUCUCGUGUGCUGGCCUUGCUGUCUCAUCUCCUCUCUCUCUCAUGUUUGGGUAUGAUGUUAGCGUUAUGUGUGUGUGGAUGGAUAUGAUGCUACCAUGGUGUGUGUAAAAAUCUAUUUUUGGUUUAUUUCUCUUUGGAGUAUUGCUGUUGGAGAUGAGCUUAAGAGGCGAAAGAGUAAAGAUCUGGUAAGCUGUUUGUAUUGCUUCAGGAGAAUCUUUUAUCACUGUUUUUGGGACUGUAUUUAUGUCAAAGAGGCAUGUAGGGAGCUGGAACAAAUUUGUUACUUCUCAUGGCCACUUUUUUGAACAUGAUUAUUGAGCUUGACUAUGCGGAGGUAGGAAAAAAUAUCAGCGUAAUGGGUUUGAGAGAUAUCAUGUUAUCCCUUCUGUUCAGGAAAUUAAGGAGAUCUGUGCGAGUAAUAUUCGGGUGNNNNNNNNNNNNNNNNNNNNNNNNNNNNNNNNNNNNNNNNNNNNNNNNNNNNNNNNNNNNNNNNNNNNNNNNNNNNNNNNNNNNNNNNNNNNNNNNNNNNUGAAGUAUUUUGAACAAGCUUGUCCUUUGCCUUAUGCUGGAACAAGGCACCUUCUAUUCCCCAUGGGCACCAAGAAUGCGAAAACAUUGAUGAUUCGAGCAAAUGUAAGUUCAGGCUUCAAGAUUGAGCCGAGCGCCCUACCAGCAGAUCUGGAUAAUGCAUACAAGAAUGAGAAAGCAUAUCAGCGAUUGGAUAUUUCUGGCCCUACAGUUAACCCUUUUGUUUUUUCCUGUACGGCGAGGGCGAGAUAAAAGAUAUGCUUUCUGUUUGUGCUGAGCAUGGAGCUUGGGUAGUGAUAGACACCUUCUCUGGUCUGGAGUUCCACAACAGAGAUGGCUGGAUUUUGCGGAACGGGUAAUUUUUUUAUUAUAGCAUUUGCUUAUAUGACCUUUCCUUGGUCAAACAUAUUUCACAAGUAAUUUGUUUUCUUCAAAAAGGAGGAUAUUUUCACAAGCCCAAACCGACCACAUAGCACUUUGAAAUGCACUUAUAGGAAGUUGUUGGUUUUGAAAAACAAGAGGGAUCAACAUUUCUCUAAUCUCAUCACGCCAACAAACUGACGAAGGUUAGUCCCUGACAUACCUCCCAAACCUUAGUUCAGAUAUAAAGGUUGGUAGUUCAGAGAAAUUCAGUAUUUGACAUGCGUGCUAUCCUUUUUGUUGUCUUUCUCUGGUUUCGUGCGAUGAACAGACACUCGAGAGCUGUGGUUGGGAUGUCGCCAGGUACCACUGUGGGAUGUCGCCAGGUACCACUGUGACACGCGUACAUCGGCAAAUCGUUCAGGGUGGAUGAUUUUGAAGGCGAGCUCGACGGCUGCAAUAUCAGGGAAGCCCUACUGAACUACUGCAGGUUCAGCUUACCAUGUAGUAUUUUCUUUACAACAAGGCCUCACACGAGCAAAACUGUCAUCUUGUUGUUUAGUUUUGGCCCGGGACUGCAAUUUUUUCCCUUAUUGCAUUCUUUAGUGCAUAAAAUAAAAUAUAUAAUGUGCAUAAAAGCCGAAAACAACCAUUACGAUCAUAGUAGGCGAACUGAAAUUGUAGGGAUAUAAAGCAGUACCUGAACAUACAAAAGCUGGCCACAACUCUGUCUUCAAUUCCAUCUUGUUUCCAGAUUUCAGGAGUAGAUCAUCACCACCAUUACAGAUCAGGCUCUUUGUCAGUGCAAAUAACAGACUAACACCACAAGGACUUCAUUAACCUUGGCCACUUCUUAUGGGUACAUGAGAACUAAAAAAAUUCAUCUGUUAAAAUUUGUUUUUUUGACUUUUUGGACUAAUUCAUGUGCAGAAUUUAUAUUUUCAAUUAGACUGAUUUAUUGUAGUUUUAUCAAUGACUAUAGUAUAUUAAGAUGUGGGCACUAUAUCGAAAGUGUUGUUCUACACCCGAGGUCAUGUGAGCUUGGUUGAACAGUAAAAUAAAUAAAAAAUGGAAAAACAAUUCAAAAAAUGUGAUUUCUUUCCGUGUGAGACACUGAAAAAAUGUUUAUUAGCUUGCAAAAUUUCAAUACUAUCUUUCUUGACUGAUUGUUUGUGGUCUGCCAUGAGCCCACGACGUAGCCAUCUGCAUCUGCCUCGCCUUGAGGCCACAGCAGCACCCCUGCCCUUCUGCUCCUGCUGGCGACCGCAACCCUCUGGCGGCAGCAACACCGCUCUCGUGUGCUGGCCUUGCUGUCUCAUCUCCUCUCUCUCUCAUGUUUGGGUAUGAUGUUAGCGUUAUGUGUGUGUGGAUGGAUAUGAUGCUACCAUGGUGUGUGUAAAAAUCUAUUUUUGGUUUAUUUCUCUUUGGAGUAUUGCUGUUGGAGAUGAGCUUAAGAGGCGAAAGAGUAAAGAUCUGGUAAGCUGUUUGUAUUGCUUCAGGAGAAUCUUUUAUCACUGUUUUUGGGACUGUAUUUAUGUCAAAGAGGCAUGUAGGGAGCUGGAACAAAUUUGUUACUUCUCAUGGCCACUUUUUUGAACAUGAUUAUUGAGCUUGACUAUGCGGAGGUAGGAAAAAAUAUCAGCGUAAUGGGUUUGAGAGAUAUCAUGUUAUCCCUUCUGUUCAGGAAAUUAAGGAGAUCUGUGCGAGUAAUAUUCGGG
This 3420-nucleotide long non-coding RNA is filed under the name Triticum aestivum (bread wheat). RNAcentral's name for it is "long non-coding RNA (TAES_LNC019051)". Lineage: Eukaryota; Viridiplantae; Streptophyta; Magnoliopsida; Poales; Poaceae. The record is from RNAcentral.